Molecule: ribosomal RNA, 243 nt
Filed under: uncultured bacterium
Lineage: Bacteria
Description: partial 16S ribosomal RNA
Rfam family: Bacterial small subunit ribosomal RNA
Source: RNAcentral
GAGAUCUUCGGAUCUAGUGGCGCACGGGUGAGUAACGCGUGGGAACCUACCUUUUAGUACGGGACAACGUCUGGAAACGGACGCUAAUACCGUAUACGCCCCAAGGGGGAAAGAUUUAUCGCUCCAGGAUUAGCCCGCGUCUGAUUAGCUUGUUGGUAAGGUAAUGGCUUACCAAGGCGACGAUCAGUAGCUGGUCUGAGAGGAUGACCAGCCACACUGGGACUGAGACACGGCCCAGACUCC